RNAcentral lists this ribosomal RNA (261 nucleotides) under Klebsiella quasipneumoniae. RNAcentral describes it as "partial 16S ribosomal RNA". It matches the Rfam family "Bacterial small subunit ribosomal RNA", at positions 1 to 260 of the family's 1533-position model. The record is from RNAcentral. Lineage: Bacteria; Pseudomonadati; Pseudomonadota; Gammaproteobacteria; Enterobacterales; Enterobacteriaceae.
AAAUUGAAGAGUUUGAUCAUGGCUCAGAUUGAACGCUGGCGGCAGGCCUAACACAUGCAAGUCGAACGGUAGCACAGAGAGCUUGCUCUCGGGUGACGAGUGGCGGACGGGUGAGUAAUGUCUGGGAAACUGCCUGAUGGAGGGGGAUAACUACUGGAAACGGUAGCUAAUACCGCAUAACGUCGCAAGACCAAAGUGGGGGACCUUCGGGCCUCAUGCCAUCAGAUGUGCCCAGAUGGGAUUAGCUAGUAGGUGGGGUAA